RNAcentral lists this ribosomal RNA (430 nucleotides) under uncultured Lactobacillus sp. Its description in RNAcentral is "bacterial SSU rRNA". It matches the Rfam family "Bacterial small subunit ribosomal RNA", at positions 355 to 775 of the family's 1533-position model. The record is from RNAcentral. Lineage: Bacteria; Bacillati; Bacillota; Bacilli; Lactobacillales; Lactobacillaceae.
UAGGGAAUCUUCCACAAUGGACGAAAGUCUGAUGGAGCAACGCCGCGUGAGUGAAGAAGGGUUUCGGCUCGUAAAGCUCUGUUGGUAGUGAAGAAAGAUAGAGGUAGUAACUGGCCUUUAUUUGACGGUAAUUACUUAGAAAGUCACGGCUAACUACGUGCCAGCAGCCGCGGUAAUACGUAGGUGGCAAGCGUUGUCCGGAUUUAUUGGGCGUAAAGCGAGUGCAGGCGGUUCAAUAAGUCUGAUGUGAAAGCCUUCGGCUCAAACCGGAGAAUUGCAUCAGAAACUGUUGAACUUGAGUGCAGAAGAGGAGAGUGGAACUCCAUGUGUAGCGGUGGAAUUGCGUAGAUAUAUGGAAGAACACCAGUGGCGAAGGCGGCUCUCUGGUCUGCAACUGACGCUGAGGCUCGAAAGCAUGGGUAGCGAACCA